This 433-nucleotide ribosomal RNA is filed under the name uncultured bacterium. Its description in RNAcentral is "partial 16S ribosomal RNA". It matches the Rfam family "Bacterial small subunit ribosomal RNA", at positions 29 to 507 of the family's 1533-position model. The record is from RNAcentral.
AACGAACGCUGGCGGCAUGCCUAACACAUGCAAGUCGAACGAGACCUUCGGGUCUAGUGGCGCACGGGUGCGUAACGCGUGGGAACCUGCCCUUAGGUUCGGAAUAACUCCCCGAAAGGGGUGCUAAUACCGGAUAAUGUCUUCGGACCAAAGAUUUAUCGCCUUUGGAUGGGCCCGCGUUGGAUUAGCUAGUUGGUAGGGUAAAAGCCUACCAAGGCGACGAUCCAUAGCUGGUCUGAGAGGAUGAUCAGCCACACUGGGACUGAGACACGGCCCAGACUCUUACGGGAGGCAGCAGUGGGGAAUAUUGGACAAUGGGCGAAAGCCUGAUCCAGCAAUGCCGCGUGAGUGAUGAAGGCCUUAGGGUUGUAAAGCUCUUUUACCCGGGAUGAUAAUGACAGUACCGGGAGAAUAAGCUCCGGCUAACUCCGUG